Molecule: non-coding RNA, 70 nt
Organism: Podarcis lilfordi (Lilford's wall lizard)
Lineage: Eukaryota; Metazoa; Chordata; Lepidosauria; Squamata; Lacertidae
Source: the annotation of a GenBank genome assembly
GGUUGUAGCUCAGUGCCAGAGCAUCUGCCUUGCAUGCAGAAGGUCCCAGGUUCAAUCUCUGGCAGCAUCU